Molecule: ribosomal RNA, 658 nt
Filed under: uncultured archaeon
Lineage: Archaea
Description: bacterial SSU rRNA
Rfam family: Archaeal small subunit ribosomal RNA
Source: RNAcentral
CAUACAGCUCAGUAACUAGUGGCUAACCUGCCCUUGGGACGAGAACACCCCCGGGAAACUGGGGCUAAUUCGCGAUAGGCGAAGAACUCUGGAAUGAGUCUUCACCUAAAAGGCAUUGCGUUAUGCUCGUAGUGUCGCCCAAGGAUGGGGCCGCGACCGAUCAGGUUGUUGGUGAGGUAAUGGCUCACCAAGCCUUUUACCGGUGCGGGCCGUGGGAGCGGGAGCCCGGAGAUGGGCACUGAGACAAGGGCCCAGGCCCUACGGGGCGCAGCAGGCGCGAAAACUUCGCAAUGCGCGAAAGCGUGACGAGGUCAGCCCGAGUGCCGUCCGCUGAGGACGGCUUUUCUUUGGUCUAAGGAGCCAGGGGAAUAAGAGGAGGGUAAGUCUGGUGUCAGCCGCCGCGGUAAUACCAGCUUCUCGAGUGGUGGGGGCGAUUAUUGGGCCUAAAGCGUCCGUAGCUUGCUUGUCAAGUCUUCCGUCAAAUCCGACGAUUCAAUCGUUGGUCCGCGGAGGAUACUGUCAAGCUUGGGGGCGGAAGAGGCUGGCGGUAUUCCCAGGGUAGGGGUGAAAUCCUAUAAUCCCGGGAGGACCACCAGUGGCGAAGGCGGCCAGCUAGCACGCGCCCGACGGUGAGGGACAAAAGCUGGGGGAGCAAACC